Molecule: long non-coding RNA, 2087 nt
Filed under: Mus musculus (house mouse)
Lineage: Eukaryota; Metazoa; Chordata; Mammalia; Rodentia; Muridae
Description: long non-coding RNA chr11:86950370-86952457
Source: RNAcentral
AACUAAGGAAGCAACUGAAAUGAAGCAAAUAGAAUUCAGACAGGAGAUGCCGAACAGACUGUCAGACACAUUUGUUUAAUGUCAUUACUGCCUGGCAACAAGGCAGUUCUUUUCCAUGUUGUGUGUCAACCAAGGCUGGUGUGCAGGCCUUCACAAGAGGUUUUUCUUUUCUUUCUUUUUUUUUUUUUUUUUUGGUUUUCUUUGGUUUUCUUUCAAGCCAUACAAAACUUUCCUCCUAUCCUAGUACAGUACUAGUUGCAGGCCCAGCCCUUCCAGCCAGCUCAAAGAAACGGAAAGGGCUCUGAGUUUCCUGUUUGGUAGCCAAAACCGCUCAUUUCUGGCCCUGUUUGGGAGUCUGGAAGGCAGUGAUUCCUUCUUAAAGUAGAACUGCUGGAUCCCAGUGUGGUGGAACACAUUUGUUAAGAAGGAAUGCAGGUCUGAUGUUAGUGUGGGCUACACAGCAAGACCCUGUCUCAAAAAUAAGAAAAACAAACAGGCUUUGGCUCGGCAGCACACAGUUGUAACAGGGGUGGAGGUAGCUGAAUGCAGAGGUGUGGGGAGCAGGUGUGACCUCUGGGAGUGGACUGGGCCCUUGAUCAUCUAAGGUAUGAGGAACUUGUCACCCCAGAAGGGGCAGGUUCCAAAUCUGACACUGCAGCUCCCACCAGCGCAUCUCUUGGCUCUUCUUUUACAUCUGUGAAUGGCUAUCACGCCUGCUUGACAGGCCAGUUAAGAACGGUGAGCUUAACAAUCUCUCACUGAAGGCUUCUCAGGAGCCUGAGGAAGAGAUGGAAAGCUGACUCAAUCCCUCAAGCCUCCUUUUCUUUGGUAACUUUGAUCUUUUGGUCUUUAAAAAAAAAAGUUUUUAUGUGUCCAAGUGAUUUAUAUAGGCUUGUACAUGAGCGCCGCAUCACAUGUAUGCCUGGUGCCCAGAGGUCAGAAGAGGGCAUCAGAUCCCCUGGAACUAAACUCAUGGCUGUUCAUGCUUUAUCAUAGGGGUGCUGAAAAUCAAAUCCAGGUCUACACCAAGAGCAACAAGUACUCUUGACAGCUUGAUCCUUCCCCAGCCUCUCUCUUAGAAUGACAAAGGGUGAAGCUUCAAAUGUCUUCAUAAGAAAAGAAUGAGGUUCGUGAGUUCAAGACCAGCCUGGAAUAGAAGAGGAGAUUCUGACUCAAAAGUGCUUGAGACAUAAGAAUGGAAACGUGACUUAAAUAUAACAUUCAGUGACUCUUGGUACAGUCACAGGUUGUACAAUCAUUGUCACUGUCUAAUUCCAGAACAUUCUCACACUCCAAAAAGAAAUCUCACAGCACCAGGGACCAAUCAUCCUUUCUCUCUCCUGCCUCGGCGUCUGCUAGGCAGGCUCACUUCUACCUCCAUAGCGCUGCACAAGGCACUAUACUUAAGAGGCGUUAGAGCAUCUCAUCAGGGUGGUAACGAGUGUUUCAGUAGAGGGACAGGAGGAUUAGUAAGAUCUUUUCCUUUGGAAUUUUGGCUGGCGCCACCCCUGACCCAGCAGGAAACAGAUGUGGCAUGUUAUGAGAAAGGGUCAGGUCAGCCACUUUCCUAUUAUUCAGUCUCAUUCUUUUCUCUUUAUAUCAUUAAUGUCUUGGGGGGGGGGAACGGAUCUAGUAUCAGGGCAACAGGCUGGAACCCAAGUAAAUAGCGCUAGAUCCUCCCUGGACCAUGGAAAGGUGUAAGAGUGGGGAAUCUAGAAAUGCUAGAAACUCCCAGAAUGAGAACACAUGUGCGGUUUAGCUACGAGCAAGGAUUUCUGCAAGGGACUUCUCCCAUCAUCCCUACAACAACAAGUGUCAAAGGAAAUGGACUCACAUGGAAACAGGGGAGACGGGUUAAUUAUAAAGGAAUUUCCUGACUGUGAUUUCCACACUGGGACAUAGGUCACCAUUCGUGUAUCUUCAUGACUUACCCAAAACUUUCACAUAGGGAUUGGUGUGAGCCUGGCACAAUGGUGUGCCUUGUAAUCCCAGCACCGGAGUCAGAGGCAGAAGCAGAAGAACUGCCUCCGGGUUGCUGAGCUGAGUACCAUAUGACCCAGAGUGACUUACAAUAGGGAGACAAUGUC